CAUGUCCUUAAGAUNAUAAUNUAAGGUCUAAUCUGCCCACUGAAAUUUUAAAUGGCCGCAGUAUUUUGACUGUGCUAAGGUAGCAUAAUAAAUAGUUUUUUAAUUGAAAGCUGGAAUGAAUGAUUGGAUGAGAUAAAAACUGUCUUAAAUUUAUUUAAAUUGAAUUUUAUUUUUAAGUUAAAAAGCUUAAAUAAAUUUAAAAGACGAGAAGACCCUAUAGAGUUUAAUAAAAUAAUUUAUUUUUUAUAUAAUUAAAUUAAAAAAUAAAUUGUUUUAUUUUGUUGGGGUGACAAAAAAAUUUAAUUAACUUUUUUUUAUAUUUACAUUAAUUUAUGAUUGUUUGAUCCAUUGUUUAAUGAUUAAAAGAAUAAAUUACCUUAGGGAUAACAGCGUAAUUUUUUUUUAGAGNNCNNAUUAAAAAAAAUGAUUGCGACCUCGAUGUUGGAUUAAAGUUNAAUUUUGGUGUAGAAGCU
RNAcentral lists this ribosomal RNA (473 nucleotides) under Prionocerus bicolor. RNAcentral describes it as "partial 16S ribosomal RNA". The record is from RNAcentral. Lineage: Eukaryota; Metazoa; Arthropoda; Insecta; Coleoptera; Prionoceridae.